AUAUAUAGAAUUCUAAAAAUGUAAAGAGAUAGUAUCCAAACAGAUUGAACUAAAUCCCUUGAGCCUUGAACAUACUAAUAUGUAUGUCUAAACUUUAUUCACUAAUACAACAGUUAUACAUAUGAUAUAUGCACCAGAACUUGGCAUAAGCAGCAACAUAGUCAAACUGAUAUGUACAUUUCAACAAGUGAUUCAUAUUUCAGAGGCACAAGUAGCACAAGUGCAAGAAUCACCACACUUGCAGAAGGCCUUGGUGGAACCACCUGAAACAGCGUCAGAGCAACCACAAGGGUUGCAGCCACAGUGUGAGCCACAAGAGCACUGCUUAUGCUCAAUAUCACCUGAACUAGCAGCGUUAAACUGGCAUCCUUGGCAUCCUUCACCACCAGGGCACGGCAUCGGACAACCACAGCUGUCACUGCAAUCACCACCAUGGGACCUUAAAUCAGACCUAAUAUCAGCAAUUUUAGCUACCUCUUGUAAUCUAUAUAUUUCACCAGUUUUUACUAUAAUGAUGAUUGAAUAGUGACCGGAGAGAUGUACAGACUUAUCUAUAGUGACUGGCCUAUUGUAUCUAUGUUAUGUGGCAACUGCAUGCAUGCAUAGACCUUACUAACCCGAUUCCUGAUUCCAAAUCCACACUGAUCCAAACAUAUGAAAUGAAGAAUGGAGUUUCAAACUGAUACCUUAUUGACCUGAUUCCCGAUUCCAAAUCAACACUGCUUGGUAAAACCAACGACUCACUUUCAGUCUCAAAUACAAGCUUGUCAGUCAUGGCAGUCCUGUACAAGUACACCAAAAUCUUAGCUUUCUGCAGUUACUUUUCUUUCUCUAUGUAUCUGAAGAAAUAUUAACAAAGUUGAAGCUAUUCCAAUGAAACAGAAAUCAAAGUUCAAACCCCAAAAAGUCCAUUCUGCCAUUUUUUUUAUAAUGGUAAAAUUCUUUUCAGCUAAAACUUUGUACGAUGUUUUUUAUGGUUAUGUGUAUACUGAUGUAUCUGUGUCCUGUGUGUGAUCUCACUUGACUCUUGCAUUUUGCAUGUUAAAGUAGCUGGCUAGGGUUCAUGAUAGCUGGCUUCUUAUUAAAAGAUGAAUAUAUUACCUCCGGAAGUAGUAGUAGAAGAAACCAGCGUAAAGCGAUACCUGAAUAAUCCCGGAUAUCAAAGCUGAAAGUUGCAACCAUUUUCGUUUUAUUAUUAAUGAACAGAAGAAAGGGGCAGAUGGAGAAAGGAGGAGUUGAACCAACUUAGGUAAAAACUGAAUAAAACACACACAUAUCCAAAGAACAAAGUGUCGUUCCGCGAAGUAGCGGUAUAUCCAGUUCAAGACGUAGAAUGCUUUAUAUGCACUGUAAAGAGGAGGAAACGCAAGUCAGGUCCUGCUUCUCAUUUGAACCCACAAGUAAUAACUUUGAUAGUAGGAUGAUAUUGAAAACACACAAAAGCUGUUAUGCAACAUACUUAUUGAUAAAUAAUUGAUUAAUAAAAAUGUGCACCGUAUCGAGUUGUCAAUGCAAGGGUCCUCUAGUUAAAUUAUGUUAGAGCAGAUUAUUUCCACGUUCAUCUGAAGAUAUCUGAGACUACACAAGUCAUAUUCUAAUAUAUUUGCAGCCACCAGUCUCUGACAACCAUGCUGGAAUUGCUAAUUGCUUGGGAAAAUGGUAUCAACUAGAUCAACAAUUAAUUUAACUAAAGUAAGUUACCAUGAUAUAAAGGUAAUAUCUUUCUGGCACACGGUAGUAUGUCCGUGUGUUGGUUAUCCAGGAGCAGUAAACGCCUACAGAAUUAUCAACCAUUUUUGGUACCUUGGAUAAUUAUCGUAACAUUGGUUGUUUGUGAUUCAGUUUAUUGAUUAAAUGUAACGAUUUACGGCUUUAAAGAUAGGAAGCCCAGAACAUAACAGAACCACUAGAUUGUAAAGCAAUUGGCAUUUAGACUCACUACCCACAUAUAUAUAGUCUACAAACUAUGAUUAAUCACAAGAAGAUAGUUGUGCAUCCAUUGACGGAUUCAGGGCGGGGGCGGGGGUAUGGGGUGGCCUUGGUACCCUCAAGACCUCAUAUUUGCUUAUAUUUUCGUGAUUAAAACUUAUAAUAUAGGGUAUUUGGUCCUCCCAAAUUUAGUAUAUUUGGUACCCCACAACUCAAUAUAUCUCAAAAUCAUUCACUUUUUACCCAUAAAUAUCUAUAAUAUUCAUUAUUUGGCUCCACAGAACCUGCCAUGUUUGUCUACUUCGGCCUUAACUUUUUUUGUUUAAGUUUCCGCCGCCCAGAAUUUUUUUUUCUGGUGCCCUCCCUGUGUGCAUAUAAUGUUGAACUAUUACCAACUGAACCUAAAGGGCUAAAAUCAGUUUGUAGUGAUUACCCAAGGAGGAACACAUAUUGCCCUAUCAAAUUGUCAUUAUUUCUUGUCCUUCGUACCAACACUAGCUGAGGAAGUAUGCCAAUAGCCUCCAAAUAUACAGAGAAUGUCCACAUUACCUGUUCAAAGAUACAAAAACAGAAAUAGUUAGGGAACCGAUCCUAUGUUAACUUAGAACUGAAAAACUCAACUUACUUAAACAUGAAUAACCGCUUACAAGAAAAGAGAGAAAUGUAAUUGUAGUACAGGGAACAUAUUACCUCUAGGAAAGUGAACCUUUCAUUUGUAACUAGGGCCAGAAGAAAACAAGGCAGCAAAAGAAAGUAGUGGCGAAAUGUGUCUAGGUGUUUAUCAUAGGAUUUGUGGACAAUUUUGUGAUGCCUUAUGUACCAAACAAUAGACAAAGAGCUCCCGAAGAAGAAUAUCUUCAUUACAGAAUUGUAUAGCGAGAUAAAAUAAAUGAAAAUAUCCAGGUAGCGAGUAGCGAAGACAAGAGCAUAAAGCUCUUGAGUCUUUAGUGAAACGCCUGAAUGCAAGUCGAGAAGCCAAAAUUAAAUGUCAACAACAUAGCAAUAACAGGAAAGCUGAAACUGAUACAACAUGCAGAAUUGCAGAGUAUUGGCAAGAGUGCAGAAUAAAUAUUAUACUGAUUGCCUAAAUAAUGUAACCCGUUAAUAUACUGUGCAUAAUACUUUUGCUUGUUAUUUCUUUGAUAUGCAUCCUAACAAGUUUCUGACGGCCACACCACUCUCACUCUUAAACUUCUCAACCUUCUAAAAACCCAAUGAUAACAUAUGCUCCCUUGACGUUAUUACUGCAAUAAUUCCCAUUUUCAAUUACUAUAUCAUAGAUACAUGUCAUAAAACACAACUUAUUUCUAAGUAUAAAUUAUACCUUCACACCAGUGAUAAUUCUAUAUUAGCUGACUAACAAUCAUCUCAUUACCUGAUGCGAAACAACCCCCCAAAUUGUUCCAUCCAGCAGUCAAGUGAGCAUAGAACCACUUGAAGUUACUUACUGUUAACAGUAGCUUUAUAACUUCUCAAAAUCUCGAGGUAUUAUGAAAUACCACUUGAAGUUACUUACUGCUAACAGUAGCUUUAUAACUUCUCAAAAUCUCGAGGUAUUAUGAAAUACCACUUGAAGUUACUUACUGCUAACAGUAGCUUUAUAACUUCUCAAAAUCUCGAGGUAUUAUGAAAUACCACUAAAUAUUCAUCCCCCCCCCCCCCCCCAAAAUUGUUCCAUCCAGCAGUCAAGUGAGUAUAGAACCACUUGAAGUUACUUACUGUUAACAGUAGCUUUAUAACUUCUCAAAAUUUCGAGGUAUUAUAAAAUACCACUAAAUAUUCAUCCACAACAAACACACCAAGAAGCAACAAUAAAGGCAUCUACAUAUAAUUUUGAAAAAAGAGGCCUCUCCCAAACAUAGGAGACAACUAAGAUUUCUUAAACCUUAAUGCAUGUUUGGUAAAAAGAAUGACGUGGAAGGAAUGAAAAUUUAUAAACAAAACUCGAGGAUAAAAGCACUAAAUACUCAAAAGAAAAAAACAAAUAAACCAAAACCCGAUUCACAUUUUCACCAAAAAACUUCAAGAAACCAAAAGGGUAAGCUCCAAUUGCCAAGAAAAUGAGAAACAACACACCAAAAUACAAAAAGCUUCCAACUUUAAACACCAAUUAACAAAAAGAUUACAACUUUAUAAUCAAAAAUAUACAAGAACAAGUAAAUGGGGAGUUGGAUACCAGCACAAGAUUUCAUGGAGUGAAUCUUGAAAAUCAAAAGAACACCAGCAGCCAGAUGGCUCAUGUCCCCUAGUAACCUGAAUAUAUACAUCAUUGAUGUGUGUAUCUAAUACCUAUACACCCAUUAAAGAAAAUUUUUCACUGAGUUGCAAAAUGUUAGCCCAGCAAGAAGAUGAGAGUAACAGAGCAGACAGAACCCACAUUUCUUUAUCAAGUUGACGAGGUCAAAUUCUACUCCCUCCAGGUCCAGGUCGUCUCACUUUUUUUGCAUUGCUCGUGUGACUUUUCUCUGCUCAAUUACAUACCAGGUCCUCAUCCUGGGCAAGUACGCUGGUGAAUCUAGGGGUGAGCAAAAAAACAAAAAAACAGAAACAUAGCCUAAAAAUCGAAAAACCAAAUCGAAAAAAAUUGUAACCGAUAAAAACCGAAAAAACUCAUAACCGAACCGAUAUAACGGUUUAAACCGAGCCGAACCGACCCGUGCACGCCCCUAGGUGAAUCUAUCGUUUUUUAAAAUAUUCAUAUCCAUAGUCGAGUUAAAUAAUAACCCUAUAGAUAAAUAAUCAUUUUACUCAUUCAAUAAUUAAAAUGUUUUAAAUAUGUUGAAAAAAUAUUAUAUUCCUGAUAGCAGUACAUCAUAUUGAGUUUGGGUCCUGUAUAUUUCAUCAUUAUAAAUUUGUUCAAUAAAUAAUAAUAUUAAUUUAUACAAUACAUAUUUAUCUGAAAAACUAUAAUUUUAAAUGUCAAAAACUCAAAAAAAGAAGUGUUAUAUUACUAAAAGCUUCAGAUGAACAAACGACAAUCCGUGUAAAAUAUGAUCAAUAUUAAUAGGAGUAUUGUUUUCAGAAGUCUAUCCAUGCUACAAGAAUCAUUUCUGGACAAAGUUUGAAACUUUAAUCUUAAAUACAUGCUUGUCAGUCAUGGCAGUCCUGUACAAGACCCAAAUCUAAGCGCUCUUCAAUUUCUUAACAGAACCCACAUCUAUCUACAUUCAUACUCAUAAAAGGUGGAGCUUUUUAAAGAAAAUAGAAACCAAGGUUGAUGAAAGUUCAAACCCCCGAAGCCAGAGCUCAUUUUGCAGUUUCUUGAUCAUGGCAAGUUUCUCGGCAUAUGCAGCAACAUAGUCAGACUGAUGUGUAUAUUUCAACAAGUACUUCAUGUCACAGAGGCACAGGUAGCACAAGUGCAAGAAUCACCACACUUGCAGAAGGCCUUGCCGGAACCACCUGUAACAGCACUAGAGCAACUGCAAGGGUUGCAGGCACAGUGUGAGCCACAAGAGCACUGCUUAUG
This 5398-nucleotide long non-coding RNA is filed under the name Daucus carota (carrot). RNAcentral's name for it is "long non-coding RNA (DCAR_LNC005927)". The record is from RNAcentral. Lineage: Eukaryota; Viridiplantae; Streptophyta; Magnoliopsida; Apiales; Apiaceae.